RNAcentral lists this small RNA (234 nucleotides) under Microtus ochrogaster (prairie vole). RNAcentral describes it as "7SK RNA (ENSMOCG00000011194.1)". It matches the Rfam family "7SK RNA", at positions 1 to 252 of the family's 331-position model. From Rfam's summary of the family: 7SK was discovered as an abundant small nuclear RNA in the mid-70s but a possible function has only recently been suggested. The record is from RNAcentral. Lineage: Eukaryota; Metazoa; Chordata; Mammalia; Rodentia; Cricetidae.
GGAUGUGAGGGCAAUCUGUCACCCCAUUGAUCACCAGAAUUGAUCUGGCUGGCUAGGCAGGUGUCCCCUUCCUCCUUCACUGCUCCAUGUGUGUCCCUUCAAAGCUGUGGGCUUGGUUGACCUCCACUGAAUAAAGGAGGACCUUUUUUGGGUCACGGGUAUAUGAGUAGCUGCGCUUCCCUACUAGAACCUCCAAACAAGCAUUCACUUGGGUUUUUUUGUUUUGUUUUGUUU